RNAcentral lists this ribosomal RNA (405 nucleotides) under uncultured bacterium. Its description in RNAcentral is "bacterial SSU rRNA". It matches the Rfam family "Bacterial small subunit ribosomal RNA", at positions 355 to 774 of the family's 1533-position model. The record is from RNAcentral.
UAGGGAAUAUUGCACAAUGGAGGAAACUCUGAUGCAGCGACGCCGCGUGAGUGAUGAAGGACUUCGGUUCGUAAAGCUCUGUCGUAUGGGAAUAAGAAAGUGAAUGUACCAUGCAAGAAAGGAUCGGCUAACUUCGUGCCAGCAGCCGCGGUAAGACGAGGGAUCCUAGCGUUGUUCGGAAUCAUUGGGCGUAAAGCGGAUGUAGGUGGCUUUGUAAGUCAGGUGUGAAAGCCCCGGGCUCAACCCGGGAAGUGCAUUUGAUACUGCGAAGCUUGAGUGCUAGAGAGGUUACUAGAAUACCUGGUGUAGUGGUGAAAUACGUAGAUAUCAGGUGGAAUACCGGAGGCGAAGGCGGGUAACCAGCUAGACACUGACACUCAGAUCCGAAAGUGUGGGGAUCAAACA